AGUGAACGCUGGCGGUAGGCCUAACACAUGCAAGUCGAACGGCAGCACAGUAAGAGCUUGCUCUUACGGGUGGCGAGUGGCGGACGGGUGAGGAAUACAUCGGAAUCUACUUUUUCGUGGGGGAUAACGUAGGGAAACUUACGCUAAUACCGCAUACGACCUACGGGUGAAAGCAGGGGAUCUUCGGACCUUGCGCGAUUGAAUGAGCCGAUGUCGGAUUAGCUAGUUGGCGGGGUAAAGGCCCACCAAGGCGACGAUCCGUAGCUGGUCUGAGAGGAUGAUCAGCCACACUGGAACUGAGACACGGUCCAGACUCCUACGGGAGGCAGCAGUGGGGAAUAUUGGACAGUGGGCGCAAGCCUGAUCCAGCAUACCGCGUGGGUGAAGAAGGCCUUCGGGUUGUAAAGCCCUUUUGUUGGGAAAGAAAAGCAGCAGGUUAAUACCCCGCUGUUCUGACGGUACCCAAAGAGUAAGCACCGGCUAACUUCGUG
This 491-nucleotide ribosomal RNA is filed under the name uncultured bacterium. RNAcentral's name for it is "partial 16S ribosomal RNA". It matches the Rfam family "Bacterial small subunit ribosomal RNA", at positions 29 to 507 of the family's 1533-position model. The record is from RNAcentral.